Molecule: transfer RNA, 68 nt
Filed under: Marmota monax (woodchuck)
Lineage: Eukaryota; Metazoa; Chordata; Mammalia; Rodentia; Sciuridae
Description: tRNA.Ala
Source: RNAcentral
GGACUGUGGCUCAGUGGUAGAGCGCUUGCCUAGCAUACAUGAGGCACUGGGUUCAAUCCUCAACACCA